AACGCCGGUGAUAUCUCUCUCUGGCGCGCGCACACGCACAUUAGCCGCUGCCGCCGAGGACGACGACGAGCUCCCCAGCCCCACGCCUAUUCGCUUUCCAGCAGGCACCUUUUCCGUGCACGGCAGACGGUCUGCAUACCUGUACACCGAGAGAAACGUAACGUACACUCAUCAUCCCCCUCCCACCUCACUGCACGGGGCGCCUCGGGUGUGACUUGGCGCCUCUUUCUCGGCUUCCUUGCGCUGCCCAUUCCAUCUGGCUUGCACGCUACCUUUCACAUGCAUUCGCGUUCGUCUCCGCAGGCUCUCCCGGCGCUGUGUCGGCAGCAGCAGCCGUCCUUGGGACGUUCGUACAUGCCCCCGGCCUCCCUGGCAAAAAGUACACAGGACAAGACGGAACCGCGAACGGAGGAGAAGACCAGACUCGGCGGCAGCUCUCCGCACGCGGCUGCUGCCGCUUCGCGGGGGAUGUACGGUCAGCCGUGGAACACGCCAACGGCAUUGCACUCCCUCGUUGAAUCCGUGACGCGCGAGUCCAAUGAGCCGGCCGCAGCUCGGGCCGGCACUAGCAGAAGUACAGCACCUCGUCCAGCCGAGUCUCGGUCGCUGCCGCUGCCGCUGCCAUGCUCCACCACGGCCGCACAUGAGAAUUCGACCUACGCCGGACGAGUGGUAUCUACGGUUGCAACGGCAGCGGCUGCGCCUUCUUCGCUACUCACAAGCACCGGCACACCAGCUCCGCUAUCGGAGUCCACGGGUACCACGGCCGCCGUGCGGGCCGAGCGCUUGCGUGAGCUCGAGGACUUCCUCCAGCAGCGCGGUGGACGAGGCACGUCACUGGAGGGCCGGCACAAGGUCAUUCAGAAGGCGCUCUCCCUCCUGCCUGCCGUGUAUCCGCUCCUCGCCAAGGUGGCGGAGUCGAUGCAGCGCUACACCGAGGACGUGACCGCGUCGCUGCGCCGCGCCGCCACGGAGAAGGCAGAAGCGCUGCGGCAGCAGGAGAGAGAGCUGUACGAGCAGUUCGAGACAUUUUUCGAAGGGAAGAUACGCGAGCUCAUGCUGGCGAGGAAGCAGGCAGAGGAGGAGGCAAAGGCGGAGCACGCUGCCGCCUUUGCCCUGCGUCAGGAGCGCGAUGCGGAGCUGAUGGCGGUGAAGGAGCAGCUGGUGCAGCGCAUGAACACUUGCGAGAAGACGGAGGAUCAGUUCCGCGACUUCCGUCACCUGAUCGCGUCUGUGUUCAAUACCAAUCAGCAGCUGAACCUCCGCAUUGAGCAGCUGGAGGAGGUGCUAGCGCGCCACCGCAUCGAUCUCCCCCCCGCCAGCGAGGAGAUGAUGGCGUUCCAGACGUCGUUGGACGGGCAGCGGCCUUUUGUGCCACAGGCCUCGACCGUCGACGGCGACGGCGCCGAUGACAGCAGCAGCGGCGGCGGUGGGGUGCGUGGCGGUCGCAACAAGUCGCACAAGCUGCCGGUGCAGUUCAUGGCCGCUGCCAAGCAGGAGCUGGUGAACUCACGCCUGACGCUGCAGGAGGAACUACUGCACUCGGCCUUCGACGACCACUCCGCCUAUCGCAUGCGCAUUAACGGACUCAAGCAGCAGAAUCUGGACCUCAGCUUCACCGUUUCAGAGCUGGAAGAGCAGGUGAGGGACUUGUACACGUACAUCCACGAGAAGCGAUUUGUGCGGCAGGUGGAUGAGCAGGGCAACGAGAUUGCCGUGAUGACGCCGCGACCGCGCGGGGUGCCGCUGGCUUUGCAAACGGAGCUCGGCAUCGAUCUUCGCCACUCCACCGCCAACAUCCUGUCCGAGCUCUCUACCUUGUCGAUCAACAUGAAGCACCAGCUCAACUCGGCCCUCCUGCGUGCGCGUCAGCUGCACACGCUGUCAGCGUGGCUCGACGAAGGGAACGAGACCGCUGCCAGCGGUGGCGGGGUCGGCGGCAUGCUGGAGCGGGUCUCGGAGGCGGCCGCCAUUCCGGUGUUCCCCGUUUCCGCGUGGCCGUCGAUUCCGCACUUUCUGCGCACUUUCAUCACCCCCGACGUGCCGAACUACUUCUGGACGGAGGCCCAAGCGGCGUGCAUCCUUUACAACUUCUUCAAAAGCUACAAGGCGAUCCGUCGACGCGCACGUUUUGUGCGGGAUAACAAGAUGCUCGCCCCACGCGUCUACCAGCUCUUUGAGCACCGUGAGGUGCUGCUGGCGCGACUGGACGCAGGAAAGGAGGAUGUGGCGGCGGCGGAGGAAAACACGCCAUUCGGCUACGUGGUCACACAGUUCGCCCGUGAGGUGCUUGCGAACCUGUCCCCGCAGAACGCGCAGCCGCAUCUGCCGCUCGUGUUGCCGGGCACCGUCGCGCUUCGCUUCCCCAAAACAAGCAGCACACCGUCGCAGAGCAAAUCGUUCCAAAGCGGCGACGGCGUGGGUGACGGCAUGCACGGCCCCGGAUCGCAGCGGACCCCGAUAGCCGACGAGCGACUGACGGUGAAGGACUGCCCGUGGAAGGAGGCCGCCCCGAUCGUGGAGUUCGAGCUGGCGCGUUUUACGUACAACCUGUGGUACGCGGCGGUGCGCUACCAACCGUCGCAGCCGCUCUGCGAGCUGUUCCUCAAGUUGGUCGAUGGCCAAGUGCCCAUCGAGACGUUUGAUUUAAUGGAGACGGUGCUGGGCCGACUGCGGCGGCGCAUCGAGGGGCUGGACAGCGAGGGCACUCGCCGAUUUGCGUACUCGCGGCUGGUGAAGGCGGUAGUGCGAUCUGUAUCCGACAUGGACGCCAAAGUCGGGCUGCGCGCCGUCCAGGCGGUGGCACAGACCUUCGAGGCGAACCACACGCCGCUGUACGGUGGCACCCUCGGCUCGGUGGCUCUCUUCGCUGAUGAGACGUACUGCAUGCGAGAAUCGCUCACCGCCUCGUUAGAGAAAGGCACGAUGCGGGCCGUGGCCAGCUGCACAGCCGACAACACGGCUGCGGGUGUGGCAGCGGCGGAGAAGCAGACGAUACGGACGCCGCUUCCGUCGUCCUUGAUCACCCACGAGGUGCUACUGCCGACGUCGUUCACAGCUUCCUCGCCACCGUCGAUGCUUCCUCCCAUAGGGGCCACGUGCAUCAUACGCUUCUGCCGCCACCUUGUCCACGACACACUCGAAGGCCUCUACACUCGCAUCGAAGCCGCGCUGUGCCCGCUGGUGGAGGAAAGCGAGGUGGUGCUUGGCCUCUACCUGCUUCCUCUUCCUCGCGCAAAGGCUGCGCUGGCUGCGCUGGACGAAGUGACGCGUGAAGAGGGCAUUCACGCUGCCCUCCUCGGAUCGACGGGGACGGGCGACGGCAACUCUCUUGCGCGCGUCACGAUUGGUCGCAUCUCUGCGGCGGCCCUUGCAGGGACGCAGCUCAGGCCCGAGGCGGCAGAUUUGCUUGGCGUACGAGGCUUGACGAGCGACUACAUGAUCCUGCUAGAGUCGCGCAAGAAUGUGCUGAAGGACAAGCGGACGGAGGACCGGCACGUCGUGACACGCAUGGUGGACAAGGCGGUGCAGGGGCUGCCGCACUUCAAGACGUCUACCCACUUUCCCUUCCGCGGCAAAAACGCCGCGUGGCUCGGCGAGUCCGGGGGGCUGGAUGACGGCGAUGAGGAGCCGAGGGCAGACUCGCCGCACGAGGCUGACGCGACUCUCAGCAACGCCGCUUCCGCUACCGGCCGUAUGGGUGGCCUCUCCAAAAACAGUGCCAAGAAGAGUGGGAGGCGGACGGCCACGCAAGAGAAGGUGGCAACGCGCCGCAGCGUGCAACCCCCUGUGCAGGGCGGCAGCGAGAACUCCAAAACCAAGGCGCGAAGAUCCCCGCAGGUCAAGCACAGCAACAAGGGGAAACGUGGCCAGGCAAGCUCACUCUCGUUCGAAGGAGGCCGCCUUGGCUCAGCGGAGAGCGAUGAUGCCCUAUGGAGCGGCACUGCCAAGGCGCUGCUGGCGGCGUCGGAGGAAGGCAACCUGGUAGAGUGGUACAGCCUCCGGCACGCGCUGCGUCGCGCCUUGCCGACCCUUCCAUGGCAAAUCUUCCAACCGGACGGGCGGGAGCAGGAAACAACGACGGCCGCGUCAGUUGCCCCGACGCUGCCGCUGCUGGCAGCGUAUGAAGAGGAGGCACCACACUAGCGCUUCCUCCUCGGCCAUUUUCAAGGUCGUUUCUCGUUUUGAUGGCGCCUCAUUUUCAUCGGGCAUGCGCAUGCGCGUGCGUGUGACGUUGCAUGCGAGCAUAACCAUGCACAACUCCAGGCAGGCGAGCGCGUUGCCUUGGCACACGAUGUAUAACUCAUCGCCGUGCGUUGGAACUUCCACGGCGUUCAUGUGCCUGCCACCUCGUUUCUCUGCCGGGCUUAGGUUGAUUUUGCCGAGUGCUGCUCUUCUGCCUUCAUGACGAGGAGCGGCCACACCGCAGAGCGAGGUAUCUCAGGACCCAGCGCACUACCUAGCGCGUUGAUGAGCACAGACUCAGCCGCGCGUACUUGCGCCAUCACGCGAAGGCAAUCAUCACUCCGCAGUUGAGAUGCUAGACUUGGAGCGAUGCCUUCUGAAGACGACAAGCGAACUAUAUGUGAAUAUAUGCUUGUGGACGCUACUGUGCACCCGUGGUCUCUCCAUAGUCAUGUGGGCACUGAUGCUGGGUCGCUAUGCAUGGCAAUGUGUAAAGUGGUGCGUUCCUCUUGCAUCGGCCCCUCCCCCCUCCCAUGCCACACCUCUCUCCUCUUGGCUUGCCAGCCAACCGGGUGGCGUGCGGCGGCGUCGGACAACGUUCGCCAGGAACACGACCCACCCCUCUUGUCAACACGCAGGCCUUUGCUUUCUGUGUGUGUGUGUGUGUGCGUGGCGUCUCUGUGUAUCCUUCCCUCUCAUGACGCUGUACUUGAUUCCAGAUGCUUGCGCCCUGUUCACGUCGCUCUCUGCUUCUUCUUUUUGCUGCUGCUACUCUCAUACUUUGCCAAUGAUCCGCGGCAACCCAUCGGCUCGCUGUGCGGCCUACGCACACACACACACACACACACAAACCGACGACGACGACACAUCGAACUCCUCCACCAAAACUCCUCUAAACACUCCAACUGACUGUUUUUGCCUCUACGUUCUCGUUGGCCAUGCUGCUAG
RNAcentral lists this unclassified non-coding RNA (5133 nucleotides) under Leishmania donovani. RNAcentral describes it as "gene:LdHU3.22.0620(CDS-product:hypothetical_prote in_conserved)". Lineage: Eukaryota; Euglenozoa; Kinetoplastea; Trypanosomatida; Trypanosomatidae. The record is from RNAcentral.